GGCCGUUGCAAGUUCCCGAGAGGAUUCACUUGUGUGUUAUAAGUGGAGAUGCCUUGUAACCGAAAAAUAUUUUUUAGGGGGAAUUAUUAUCAUG
Molecule: small RNA, 94 nt
Filed under: Tetragenococcus muriaticus
Lineage: Bacteria; Bacillati; Bacillota; Bacilli; Lactobacillales; Enterococcaceae
Also listed under: 1 other name
Description: SAM-III sequence
Rfam family: SAM-III riboswitch aptamer (SMK box)
Source: RNAcentral